CGAAGGCGAACUGUCUGGAAACUUCCACCCCUCCCUGCUGAGCAACUACUAAAAAUGACUCCAGGUGCCAUCGGCAGCCUCAGUGCGAAGCCUCAUGCAGGCCGACCUCCGGACAAGAGGAGCACUUUAAGAAACAACACAGAGAAUUGGCUCCAUGCAGGGCUGGCCUAUUCGUCCUACGCAGAACCCAAAGGAGAACUGCCAGCAAAUGAGGGCAUUAGAAGAGCACGUGAACUUGUGUGCAUCCAGUCUUAUUUGUGGAGCUGCUGAGGUCUGUGAUGGUGCUGGUGGUGUAAAUGCAGAGGCAAGAGCUGGAUUUAUUGGAGGGUCUCUCGUUAGCCUCACUGUCCCGUGGUUUCUUGUUGCUCGUGAGAAUCUGCUUCAGGCUGGGUCGUGGUCUGCGUUCCACUUAGGACCUAUAAAACUACAGGGUUAUUGUCAGGUAUGGCUCUGAUGCAGUAUUAAUGGAUUGGAGUGGCCUGGGCUGUGAAAUGCAGAUAUUCUGUUAACCUGUUUAGUGGGAUGUCCUGUAUGAGAUAAUACACAAAUUAUAUGCUUUGUGCACAGCCAAUUGCUCUACCCAGCCAGGGUGUCCAACCUUGGCAACUUGGAGACUUGUGGACUUCAGCUCAACCUGGUUGGCUGAGGAAUUCUUGGAGUUGCAGUCCAUGUGGCUGUGGAUUUCAUCUCCUGCAUCCCUCUUCUGAAUUUUUUUACAAUAACCCAGUGGGGCAAGUUGAGCUGAAAGACUUUGAGUGGUCCAGAGUCCCACACAGAGCUUGCAGGACUGAGGGUGGACUGGAAGCUUCCUGGUCUUAUUCCCGCACUUAACUCCGAUACCCCACUCUCGCUGCUGGGUAUUCAGGUAACUCUGGUUUCCCCUGUUAAGACUCAGGUCUCUGGCCUUCAGUCUGUUCUACCCAAAGAAAUUUGAGCUGCAUGGCAGUGCUUCGGAUGCUGGCUGGGGAAUUCUGGGAGUUGAAGUUUACACAUUUAGAAGUUGCCAAAUUUGUAUUAAACACGGGUUAAUGUCUAGCUCAGGGGUAGGCAACCCAAAACACUCAAACAGCCACCUGGACCCAUUUCCCACCAAAAACAAAACACCGAGAGCCGCAAAACCCUUUUGAUAUCUAAAAUGAAGAUAACACU
Long non-coding RNA from Crotalus tigris (Tiger rattlesnake), 1149 nucleotides. RefSeq lists it as uncharacterized. The record is from RefSeq and is a predicted model, not a curated record. The transcript has 3 exons. NCBI's taxonomy places the organism in Eukaryota, Metazoa, Chordata, Lepidosauria, Squamata, Viperidae.